CCUACGGGUGGCAGCAGUAGGGAAUAUUGCUCAAUGGGGGAAACUCUGAAGCAGCAACGCCGCGUGGAGGAUGAAGGUUUUCGGAUUUUAAACUCCUUUUGUUAGAGAAGAUAAUGACGGUAUCUAACGAAUAAGCACCGGCUAACUCCGUGCCAGCAGCCGCGGUAAUACGGAGGGUGCAAGCGUUACUCGGAAUCACUGGGCGUUAAGAGCGCGUAGGCGGGUUAGCAAGUCAGAUGUGAAAUUCUAUGGCUUAACCAUAGAACUGCAUUUGAAACUGUUAGUCUAGAGUAUGGGAGAGGUAGGCGGAAUUCUUGGUGUAGGGGUAAAAUCCGUAGAGAUCAAGAGGAAUACUCAUUGCGAAGGCGACCUGCUAGAACAUAACUGACGCUGAUGCGCGAAAGCGUGGGGAGCAAACAGGAUUAGAUACCCCUGUAGUC
This 440-nucleotide ribosomal RNA is filed under the name uncultured bacterium. Its description in RNAcentral is "partial 16S ribosomal RNA". It matches the Rfam family "Bacterial small subunit ribosomal RNA", at positions 338 to 795 of the family's 1533-position model. The record is from RNAcentral.